UACGUUUUCNAGAUCACCUCAGCCACUUCUC
Molecule: non-coding RNA, 31 nt
Filed under: Mus musculus (house mouse)
Lineage: Eukaryota; Metazoa; Chordata; Mammalia; Rodentia; Muridae
Source: RNAcentral